RNAcentral lists this ribosomal RNA (426 nucleotides) under uncultured bacterium. Its description in RNAcentral is "bacterial SSU rRNA". It matches the Rfam family "Bacterial small subunit ribosomal RNA", at positions 359 to 777 of the family's 1533-position model. The record is from RNAcentral.
GAAUAUUGGACAAUGGGCGCAAGCCUGAUCCAGCCAUGCCGCGUGUGUGAAGAAGGCCUUCGGGUUGUAAAGCACUUUCAGCGAGGAGGAAGGGUGUUGUGUUAAUAGCACAGCAUUUUGACGUUACUCGCAGCAGAAGCACCGGCUAACUCCGUCCCAGCAGCCGCGGUAAUACGGAGGGUGCAAGCGUUAAUCGGAAUUACUGGGCGUAAAGCGCACGUAGGCGGUGUGUUAAGUUGGAUGUGAAAGCCCCGGGCUCAACCUGGGAAUUGCAUUCAAAACUGGCACGCUAGAGUAUGUGAGAGGGGGGUAGAAUUCCAAGUGUAGCGGUGAAAUGCGUAGAGAUUUGGAGGAAUACCAGUGGCGAAGGCGGCCCCCUGGCACAAUACUGACGCUCAGGUGCGAAAGCGUGGGGAGCAAACAGGA